RNAcentral lists this unclassified non-coding RNA (379 nucleotides) under uncultured Actinomycetes bacterium. RNAcentral's name for it is "uncultured actinobacterium contains 16S-23S intergenic spacer region". The record is from RNAcentral. Lineage: Bacteria; Bacillati; Actinomycetota; Actinomycetes.
UCCGGUUUGGCACCGGCAGUCCCUCUAGAGUCCCCGGCAUUACCCGCUGGCAACUAGGGGCAGGGGUUGCGCUCGUUGCGCCACUUAAGGCAACACCUCACGGCACGAGCUGACGACGGCCAUGCAGCACCUGCGCGGGCUCCCGAAGGAGCACCGUGUUUCCACGGCUUCACCCCGCAUGUCAAGCCCUGGUAAGGUUCUUCGCGUCGCGUCGAAUUAAGCCACAUGCUCCGCCGCUUGUGCGGGCCCCCGUCAAUUCCUUUGAGUUUUAGCCUUGCGGCCGUACUCCCCAGGCGGGGUGCUUAAUGCGUUAGCUUCGGCACAGAGGGGGUUGAUCGUCCCCCCACACCUAGCACCCAACGUUUACGGCGUGGACUAC